GACGAACGCUGGCGGCGUGCUUAAUACAUGCAAGUCGAACGGUAAGGCCCUUUCGGGGGUACACGAGUGGUGACCGGGUGAGUAACACGAGGGUGAACUGCACCGCCCUUUGGGAUAAGGCUGGGUACCUGGGUCUAAUACCGGUAAGGAAUACGCGUUGCAUGUGGUUUGGUGGAAAGUUUGUGAGGUGUGGGAUGGGCCCGCGGCCUAUCAGUUCGUUGGUGGGGUGAUGGGAGACCAAGACGGCGACGGGUAGCCGGCCUUGGAGGGUGUCCGGCCACACUGGGACUGAGAUACGCCCCAGUAGCCAACGGGAGGCAGUAGUCGGGAAUAUUGCACAAUAGGCGCAAGCCUGAUGCGGCGACGCCGCGUGGGUGAUGACGUCCUACGAGUGGAAAACCCCUUUCAGCACAGACGAAGCGUAAGUGACGGUAUGUGCAGAAGAAGCACCGGCCAACUACGUG
RNAcentral lists this ribosomal RNA (464 nucleotides) under uncultured bacterium. RNAcentral describes it as "partial 16S ribosomal RNA". It matches the Rfam family "Bacterial small subunit ribosomal RNA", at positions 28 to 507 of the family's 1533-position model. The record is from RNAcentral.